CUCUUGAGAGCGGCGGACGGGUGAGUAAUGCCUAGGAAUCUGCCUGGUAGUGGGGGAUAACGUUCGGAAACGGACGCUAAUACCGCAUACGUCCUACGGGAGAAAGCAGGGGACCUUCGGGCCUUGCGCUAUCAGAUGAGCCUAGGUCGGAUUAGCUAGUUGGUGGGGUAAUGGCUCACCAAGGCGACGAUCCGUAACUGGUCUGAGAGGAUGAUCAGUCACACUGGAACUGAGACACGGUCCAGACUCCUACGGGAGGCAGCAGUGGGGAAUAUUGGACAAUGGGCGAAAGCCUGAUCCAGCCAUGCCGCGUGUGUGAAGAAGGUCUUCGGAUUGUAAAGCACUUUAAGUUGGGAGGAAGGGCAGUAAAUUAAUACUUUGCUGUUUUGACGUUACCGACAGAAUAAGCACCGGCUAACUCUGUGCCAGCAGCCGCGGUAAUACAGAGGGUGCAAGCGUUAAUCGGAAUUACUGGGCGUAAAGCGCGCGUAGGUGGUUAGUUAAGUUGGAUGUGAAAUCCCCGGGCUCAACCUGGGAACUGCAUUCAAAACUGACUGACUAGAGUAUGGUAGAGGGUGGUGGAAUUUCCUGUGUAGCGGUGAAAUGCGUAGAUAUAGGAAGGAACACCAGUGGCGAAGGCGACCACCUGG
RNAcentral lists this ribosomal RNA (650 nucleotides) under Pseudomonas sp. EECC-119. Its description in RNAcentral is "bacterial SSU rRNA". It matches the Rfam family "Bacterial small subunit ribosomal RNA", at positions 86 to 732 of the family's 1533-position model. The record is from RNAcentral. Lineage: Bacteria; Pseudomonadati; Pseudomonadota; Gammaproteobacteria; Pseudomonadales; Pseudomonadaceae.